UGGAUUAGUGGCGAACGGGUGAGUAACACGUGGGCAAUCUGCCCUGCACUCUGGGACAAGCCCUGGAAACGGGGUCUAAUACCGGAUGACACUUCCUUCCGCAUGGGAGGAGGUUGAAAGCUCCGGCGGUGCAGGAUGAGCCCGCGGCCUAUCAGCUUGUUGGUGGGGUGAUGGCCUACCAAGGCGACGACGGGUAGCCGGCCUGAGAGGGCGACCGGCCACACUGGGACUGAGACACGGCCCAGACUCCUACGGGAGGCAGCAGUGGGGAAUAUUGCACAAUGGGCGAAAGCCUGAUGCAGCGACGCCGCGUGAGGGAUGACGGCCUUCGGGUUGUAAACCUCUUUCAGCAGGGAAGAAGCGAAAGUGACGGUACCUGCAGAAGAAGCGCCGGCUAACUACGUGCCAGCAGCCGCGGUAAUACGUAGGGCGCAAGCGUUGUCCGGAAUUAUUGGGCGUAAAGAGCUCGUAGGCGGCUUGUCACGUCGGAUGUGAAAGCCCGGGGCUUAACCCCGGGUCUGCAUUCGAUACGGGCAGGCUAGAGUGUGGUAGGGGAGAUCGGAAUUCCUGGUGUAGCGGUGAAAUGCGCAGAUAUCAGGAGGAACACCGGUGGCGAAGGCGGAUCUCUGGGCCAUUACUGACGCUGAGGAGCGAAAGCGUGGGGAGCGAACAGGAUUAGAUACCCUGGUAGUCCACGCCGUAAACGUUGGGAACUAGGUGUUGGCGACAUUCCACGUCGUCGGUGCCGCAG
RNAcentral lists this ribosomal RNA (751 nucleotides) under Streptomyces sp. Its description in RNAcentral is "bacterial SSU rRNA". It matches the Rfam family "Bacterial small subunit ribosomal RNA", at positions 88 to 851 of the family's 1533-position model. The record is from RNAcentral. Lineage: Bacteria; Bacillati; Actinomycetota; Actinomycetes; Kitasatosporales; Streptomycetaceae.